ACAGCCCAGCGCAUAACCUCCCGGGCUACCAAGCCUGCGGCGGAAUGUUGCGUUAAGGGAAAGGUCGUUAUAAAGCCCUGCACUACAUGGCCUAAGCUUUGGCUUGAAUUUCCACUGUUAUCCUAACGGGUGCAACGGCUCCACAGAGGGUGUUAGACCCGUGUGGCCAUGUGGUUAAAUGUGCAUGGGUUCGGCUUUAUUCCCUGAGAGUCGCGUUGCUUGGACAUGCAGCGCUAAGCAGGUCGUAAACUCGACCUAAGGCUAAAUAUUUUCACAGAACCGAUAGUAAACAAGUACCGUGAGGGAAAGUUGAAAAGUACUCUGAAGAGAGAGUCAAAAGACCGUGAAACCGCUUAGAGUAUAAGCCAAUGGUAAACUGGAAGGCUGGAAAAAACGGUUCCUUUGAGGGAGGCAAGUUAACGUUUGUGCAAUGAUGAAGGCACGGAGGGGAGUAAGUGGCAUUGAGUUUGAUAGCACGCCGUCAAUCCUUGCGGGUAACUGACAGUGGUAACAGGGAACGUUCUAAUGAGGAACUGAACCGAGGCUGUACUUUUGCAAGCUCCGGCUUUGAGGCACACUAACGAGUUUCUUAACACAGCUGCACCGCAAUCCUUUAUAAGGUCACCCUCGCGAGAAGAGAGUGGAGUUCUCAUAUGAGCCGUGGUGUGCCUAUGGUUAUUGCACUUCAUGUGACCUGGGUCGGCCGGCUUCUUUACAUCCAGACGCGAGUGGUAUGAUCCUAAGUGAAGAUUGUUUUCUGAAAGGCCUUAUCCCCGAAACAGAGCCGACCCAUCUGAGUGCGUUUGAGAUAGGGGCCACCUGGAUUCGCUUGUGAGAGAUCAUGGGGAGGCGGCUAUUUGGUGUACUAUUCCAGAGCCAUUGGUCACGUCUCGAAACACGGGCCAAGGAGCAUAGCAUGUGCGCAAGUCUAAGGGAUAAGAAAUCCUGGAGGCAAAGUGAAAGCAAAUGGUGUGUUUGUGUCGAGCUUUCCGGUUCGAUGCAUUCAGCUUCCGAUGAGCGUAAUUCUCGAGCGGAUGACUGCGUCACGGGCUUAAACCGAGUUGAUCCGUCGCAAUAAAGCCUUCAUGGCGAUGCGAAGGCGCAAACUCCAGGCUCUCUGAUAAGGGUAUCGUAUUCUUGAGAGCACUGUGUAGCGUGCAUGCUAUAACCCGAAAGAUAGUGAACUAUGCCUGGCGA
RNAcentral lists this ribosomal RNA (1197 nucleotides) under Epimeria macrodonta. RNAcentral describes it as "partial 28S ribosomal RNA". It matches the Rfam family "Eukaryotic large subunit ribosomal RNA", at positions 104 to 843 of the family's 3401-position model. The record is from RNAcentral. Lineage: Eukaryota; Metazoa; Arthropoda; Malacostraca; Amphipoda; Epimeriidae.